AGUGAACGCUGGCGGUAGGCCUAACACAUGCAAGUCGAACGGCAGCACAGUAAGAGCUUGCUCUUACGGGUGGCGAGUGGCGGACGGGUGAGGAAUACAUCGGAAUCUACUUUUUCGUGGGGGAUAACGUAGGGAAACUUACGCUAAUACCGCAUACGACCUACGGGUGAAAGCAGGGGAUCUUCGGACCUUGCGCGAUUGAAUGAGCCGAUGUCGGAUUAGCUAGUUGGCGGGGUAAAGGCCCACCAAGGCGACGAUCCGUAGCUGGUCUGAGAGGAUGAUCUGCCACACUGGAACUGAGACACGAUCCAGACUCCUACGGGAGGCAGCAGUGGGGAAUAUUGGACAAUGGGGGCAAGCCUGAUCCAGCCAUACCGCGUGGGUGAAGAAGGCCUUCGGGUUGUAAAGCCCUUUUGUUGGGAAAGAAAAGCAGCAGGUUAAUACCCCGCUGUUCUGACGGUACCCAAAGAAUAAGCACCGGCUAACUUCGUG
Molecule: ribosomal RNA, 492 nt
Filed under: uncultured bacterium
Lineage: Bacteria
Description: partial 16S ribosomal RNA
Rfam family: Bacterial small subunit ribosomal RNA
Source: RNAcentral